CGUCCUCGGUCAUGGACAAGUUCGUAGUAGGUCACACUAUCGGGUGUUGGUCGAAAUGGAGGAUAAAUCUGCUAAUAACUUGUGUGAUAACUAAGAGGAUAUAAGUCAUGUGGUGACUUGGUCUAUGGGAAAAUCGUGACAAGUCAGGAUGAUGUGUUGAUAUGACCCCGAGACUAGGUCUUGGUAAGCCAUGCGUGUGCUCCAAGGAGCCGUGGCAGAGUAAGUGAUUGUUGGGUAAGAUUAAUACAACAUGUCUUCACGGGAGGUAAGUAAUAGUUUAUUUUCAGCAUAGUUUCAUGGUGUCAUGCCAUUAUUUGAUAUGCUAUGCUUUGUUGUUGCUUUGCUGGAAGUUUGUUUGAUAUGCCAUGCUAGUAGAUGCUAUGAUGUGGUUCAUGCUUAGUUUGAUUUAUGAUUCUAGUUAAUAUCAUGCCAUGCUUAGAAGUUGUGUUGAAGUAGACUGUUGCAUAUGCUUGGUUCUUGCUUUGUCAUCUGUUUGUUUGGAUGCUAUGUAUUUGGUUGUCUUGCAAGUACAUUCAAUGUACUGACCUGGCGUGUCAUGCCAGUUUUGUAGGUCGUGCCCGAAUUGUUCGCUUGUUCCGUCGUGCUAGGCCGUAAUCUUGCCAGUCAUGUGAGUUAUGGAGUCCAGCCAGAGUGAGACGCUACCAAAUCAAGACUUCCACCGCCAUUUAAAUAGACUUCCGCCGCCAUUUAAAUAGCCUUAGGGCUAUGCUAGAUAAUUGUAUUCAUCAAUGAUGUAAUCUUAUACACAUAUAUUUGAUGAAUAUUAUUGUACCUGGAAUGCUGUAUCAUGGACCUAUCGUGCUAGAUAAUUGUAUUAAUAGUUCCUUGGAUUCUACACUAAUAAGCAUGUGAUCGAACUCUACACUAAA
This is a non-coding RNA of Aegilops tauschii subsp. strangulata, 890 nucleotides long. The record is from RefSeq and is a predicted model, not a curated record. Lineage: Eukaryota; Viridiplantae; Streptophyta; Magnoliopsida; Poales; Poaceae.